AUUGAACGCUGGCGGCAGGCUUAACACAUGCAAGUCGAGCGGGGGAAGGUAGCUUGCUACUGGACCUAGCGGCGGACGGGUGAGUAAUGCUUAGGAAUCUGCCUAUUAGUGGGGGACAACAUCUCGAAAGGGAUGCUAAUACCGCAUACGUCCUACGGGAGAAAGCAGGGGAUCUUCGGACCUUGCGCUAAUAGAUGAGCCUAAGUCGGAUUAGCUAGUUGGUGGGGUAAAGGCCUACCAAGGCGACGAUCUGUAGCGGGUCUGAGAGGAUGAUCCGCCACACUGGGACUGAGACACGGCCCAGACUCCUACGGGAGGCAGCAGUGGGGAAUAUUGGACAAUGGGGGGAACCCUGAUCCAGCCAUGCCGCGUGUGUGAAGAAGGCCUUAUGGUUGUAAAGCACUUUAAGCGAGGAGGAGGCUACUUUAGUUAAUACCUAGAGAUAGUGGACGUUACUCGCAGAAUAAGCACCGGCUAACUCUGUGCCAGCAGCCGCGGUAAUACAGAGGGUGCGAGCGUUAAUCGGAUUUACUGGGCGUAAAGCGUGCGUAGGCGGCUUAUUAAGUCGGAUGUGAAAUCCCCGAGCUUAACUUGGGAAUUGCAUUCGAUACUGGUGAGCUAGAGUAUGGGAGAGGAUGGUAGAAUUCCAGGUGUAGCGGUGAAAUGCGUAGAGAUCU
This 677-nucleotide ribosomal RNA is filed under the name Acinetobacter baumannii OIFC032. Its description in RNAcentral is "bacterial SSU rRNA". It matches the Rfam family "Bacterial small subunit ribosomal RNA", at positions 28 to 699 of the family's 1533-position model. RNAcentral also lists the same sequence under 1 other name. Lineage: Bacteria; Pseudomonadati; Pseudomonadota; Gammaproteobacteria; Moraxellales; Moraxellaceae. The record is from RNAcentral.